UGUUAAUGUGAAAAAAAAUUUGUUCCAAGAUAUGUUUUACAAAAUUAAGUGAUGUUCUAUUUCACAAUGACAAGAACUUAGCUGCAAUUUUUCUGUAUUUUCUCUUUAGUUUCAAUGAACCUGAUGGUUUAUCUGAGAUUGGUAUGCUUCUUGAAGAGGGUGAAGGAGCAGUAGUACCUUCGAAUUGCAUAGGUGAUGUUGAAGAUUUUGUCAGGCGAGCAUUGAUGUCAAAUUUGGAGUAAGUAUGUAAGAUUUUCUUUUGGACUGCAGAGAGGUAAAGUUGGGUGCUAUAAGCUUCACGUUGGGAUGGAUAUGAAGUAGGUUUAGAAAAUGAGUUAAGGCAAAG
Molecule: long non-coding RNA, 346 nt
Organism: Vicia villosa (hairy vetch)
Lineage: Eukaryota; Viridiplantae; Streptophyta; Magnoliopsida; Fabales; Fabaceae
Exons: 3
Source: RefSeq, a predicted model, not a curated record